Molecule: ribosomal RNA, 722 nt
Filed under: Escherichia coli
Lineage: Bacteria; Pseudomonadati; Pseudomonadota; Gammaproteobacteria; Enterobacterales; Enterobacteriaceae
Description: partial 23S ribosomal RNA
Rfam family: Bacterial large subunit ribosomal RNA
Source: RNAcentral
GUUAAGCGACUAAGCGUACACGGUGGAUGCCCUGGCAGUCAGAGGCGAUGAAGGACGUGCUAAUCUGCGAUAAGCGUCGGUAAGGUGAUAUGAACCGUUAUAACCGGCGAUUUCCGAAUGGGGAAACCCAGUGUGAUUCGUCACACUAUCAUUAACUGAAUCCAUAGGUUAAUGAGGCGAACCGGGGGAACUGAAACAUCUAAGUACCCCGAGGAAAAGAAAUCAACCGAGAUUCCCCCAGUAGCGGCGAGCGAACGGGGAGCAGCCCAGAGCCUGAAUCAGUGUGUGUGUUAGUGGAAGCGUCUGGAAAGGCGCGCGAUACAGGGUGACAGCCCCGUACACAAAAAUGCACAUGCUGUGAGCUCGAUGAGUAGGGCGGGACACGUGGUAUCCUGUCUGAAUAUGGGGGGACCAUCCUCCAAGGCUAAAUACUCCUGACUGACCGAUAGUGAACCAGUACCGUGAGGGAAAGGCGAAAAGAACCCCGGCGAGGGGAGUGAAAAAGAACCUGAAACCGUGUACGUACAAGCAGUGGGAGCACGCUUAGGCGUGUGACUGCGUACCUUUUGUAUAAUGGGUCAGCGACUUAUAUUCUGUAGCAAGGUUAACCGAAUAGGGGAGCCGAAGGGAAACCGAGUCUUAACUGGGCGUUAAGUUGCAGGGUAUAGACCCGAAACCCGGUGAUCUAGCCAUGGGCAGGUUGAAGGUUGGGUAACACUAAC